Molecule: non-coding RNA, 73 nt
Organism: Candidatus Pacearchaeota archaeon CG1_02_31_27
Lineage: Archaea; Nanobdellati
Source: Rfam
GCCCCCGUAGUCUAGAGGCCAAGGAUGCAGCCCUCUCACGGCUGUGACACGAGUUCAAAUCUCGUCGGGGGCA